AGUUCUCGUUGAUGAUCGGUGCUUGCACCGAGAUUCAACAUGGAACGAGUGGCGGACGGGUGAGUAACACGUGGGUAACCUGCCCUUAAGUGGGGGAUAACAUUUGGAAACAGAUGCUAAUACCGCAUAGAUCCAAGAACCGCAUGGUUCUUGGCUGAAAGAUGGCGUAAGCUAUCGCUUUUGGAUGGACCCGCGGCGUAUUAGCCAGUUGGUGAGGUAAUGGCUCACCAAGGCGAUGAUACGUAGCCGAACUGAGAGGUUGAUCGGCCACAUUGGGACUGAGACACGGCCCAAACUCCUACGGGAGGCAGCAGUAGGGAAUCUUCCACAAUGGACGCAAGUCUGAUGGAGCAACGCCGCGUGAGUGAAGAAGGCUUUCGGGUCGUAAAACUCUGUUGUUGGAGAAGAAUGGUCGGCAGAGUAACUGUUGUCGGCGUGACGGUAUCCAACCAGAAAGCCACGGCUAACUACGUGCCAGCAGCCGCGGUAAUACGUAGGUGGCAAGCGUUAUCCGGAUUUAUUGGGCGUAAAGCGAGCGCAGGCGGUUUUUUAAGUCUGAUGUGAAAGCCCUCGGCUUAACCGAGGAAGCGCAUCGGAAACUGGGAAACUUGAGUGCAGAAGAGGACAGUGGAACUCCAUGUGUAGCGGUGAAAUGCGUAGAUAUAUGGAAGAACACCAGUGGCGAAGGCGGCUGUCUGGUCUGUAACUGACGCUGAGGCUCGAAAGCAUGGGUAGCGAACAGGAUUAGAUACCCUGGUAGUCCAUGCCGUAAACGAUGAAUGCU
This 784-nucleotide ribosomal RNA is filed under the name uncultured bacterium. RNAcentral's name for it is "bacterial SSU rRNA". It matches the Rfam family "Bacterial small subunit ribosomal RNA", at positions 60 to 817 of the family's 1533-position model. The record is from RNAcentral.